Molecule: ribosomal RNA, 256 nt
Filed under: uncultured archaeon
Lineage: Archaea
Description: partial 16S ribosomal RNA
Rfam family: Bacterial small subunit ribosomal RNA
Source: RNAcentral
UAAUACGUAGGUGGCAAGCGUUGUCCGGAAUUAUUGGGCGUAAAGCGCGCGCAGGCGGCCUUUUAAGUCUGAUGUGAAAGCCCCCGGCUUAACCGGGGAGGGUCAUUGGAAACUGGGAGGCUUGAGUGCAGAAGAGGAAAGUGGAAUUCCAAGUGUAGCGGUGAAAUGCGUAGAGAUUUGGAGGAACACCAGUGGCGAAGGCGACUUUCUGGUCUGUUACUGACGCUGAGGCGCGAAAGCGUGGGGAGCAAACAGG